This 1550-nucleotide long non-coding RNA is filed under the name Mytilus galloprovincialis (Mediterranean mussel). Lineage: Eukaryota; Metazoa; Mollusca; Bivalvia; Mytilida; Mytilidae. The record is from RNAcentral.
CGUCUAUAUAAUUUUUAUUUUUAUAUACAUAAAGCACGAAACAUAUAUUUACAAACAGUCAUCUAAAUGUACAUAUAGCAAUCGAAAUGAAAAAUUUAAGAUACAAAAAAUAGCAAAUUGCGACACGAAUUCCAUUCACAAAGCACAUGAAUUCACACCCUGUUGUUUAUUGAGUUCGUGUGGAUCAGGUUUUUAAGUUUUAUAAGUGUUUGGAGGACUGCUCAUCCUUUUGUCGCUUGUAAGUAUUCCUCCGAGUUAUUGUCUGAAUAUUUAUCUCGGAUUUUCUAAACUACAUCGAUACAAAUUAACCAUGUAAAAUUCUGAUUGUUUUAUAAAAUUCUCUUAUAACUAAAAUGACAACUUUGUAUCACUGUUCAAAACAUGAAUUGAAUCAUACUUUUUAUUUCAACGGUUCAAAUACAUUGUUUUCAAUUUAUUACCACUGAAUAAAGAUUGUGCAUACAAAAACAUGUUUCUCAUAAACAGUAAAAAUAUCUACACAUCACAGUCAGCAAGACUCCCAUUGACAAAAGCAAUAGUAAAGCUACAACACUUUACAAAGCAUAAUAAACUCAUCAUAGAUACCAGGAUUAAAAUGAUUUAUAAUUGCGCCAGAUGCGGGUUUCGUCUCAAAAAGACUCGUCAGUGACGCUCGAAUCAAAAAAUGUUUAAAGGGCCAAAUAAAGUACGAAGUUGAAUAGCAUUGAGGACCGAAAAUUUCUAAAAGUUUUGCCAAAUACAGCUAAGGUUAUCUAUUCCUGAGGUAGAAAAGCCUUAGUUUUUCAAAAAUUCAAAGUUUUGUUAACAGUUAAUUUAUAAUUAUGAACAUAUCAUAUAGAAGUGCUGACUACUGGGCUUGUGAUACCCUCGGGGAAAAUAAAUCUCCACCAGCAGUGGCAUCGACCCAGUGGUUGCAAAUAAACUCAUCAUAGAUGAUUAUGAGUAAAAUCUAUCAUUAAUAAAUUCAAAGAUAAUUCAUUCAAAUUAGCAUUACAGAUAGUAACAAAUGUACAAAGUAGACAUAUGCUUCUACAAAAAAAAACCAGUAUAAAUACAUUGUUUUCAAUUUCACACCACCCAAUUAAGUUUCCUGCUUACAAAACACAUGUAUCCUAUAUACAGUAACUAUAUAUACACAUCACAGUCAGGAAGUCUCCCAUUAACAAAAAUAGUAGUAAGGCUACAGUAUUUUAUAAAGGAUAAAAGUGAGUAAAAUCUAUCAUAAAUCAAAUCAAAGAUAAUUCAGUCAAAUUAUCAUUACAGAUAGUAAACAAAUGUACAUAGUACAUAUAUGCUACGACAAAACAACUUAGUAUACAUACAUAAAUUGUUUUCAAUUUAACACCACCUAAUAAGUUUCUUGCGUACAAAACACAGGUUUCCUAUUGACAGAAAAAUUGUGAAGACAUCUCAGCAAUAUUUGAAUUGACAAAAGCAGUAGUAAAAAGUAAAAUCACAAAAAUACUGAACUCCGAGGAAAAUUCAAAACGGAAAGUCACUAAUCAAAUGGCAAAAUCAAAUGAUAAAACACAUCAAACCAAUGGACAACA